AGGACGAACGCUGGCGGCGUGCUUAACACAUGCAAGUCGAGCGGAAAGGCCCUUCGGGGUACUCGAGCGGCGAACGGGUGAGUAACACGUGAGCAACCUGCCCUUAGCUCCGGGAUAGCUCCGGGAAACCGGAAUUAAUACCGGAUACGACCACGGCCGACAUCUGCUGUGGUGGAAAGGAUUCCGGCUAAGGAUGGGCUCGCGGCCUAUCAGCUAGUUGGUGGAGUAACGGCCCACCAAGGCGACGACGGGUAGCCGGCCUGAGAGGGCGACCGGCCACACUGGGACUGAGACACGGCCCAGACUCCUACGGGAGGCAGCAGUGGGGAAUAUUGCGCAAUGGGCGAAAGCCUGACGCAGCGACGCCGCGUGGGGGAUGAAGGCCUUCGGGUUGUAAACCCUUUCAGCAGGGACGAAGCGAAAGUGACGGUACCUGCAGAAGAAGCGCCGGCUAACUACGUGCCAGCAGCCGC
This 473-nucleotide ribosomal RNA is filed under the name uncultured bacterium. Its description in RNAcentral is "SSU rRNA". It matches the Rfam family "Bacterial small subunit ribosomal RNA", at positions 26 to 518 of the family's 1533-position model. The record is from RNAcentral.